Molecule: ribosomal RNA, 365 nt
Filed under: Neotegonotus sp. FJ27
Lineage: Eukaryota; Metazoa; Arthropoda; Arachnida; Trombidiformes; Eriophyidae
Description: partial small subunit ribosomal RNA
Source: RNAcentral
CUUAUUAUCUUAUAAGAGUGACGGGCGAUUUGUGCAUAGAAAAUUCCAUUUCCAUUUUUAUAAAAUCUAGUAAGAUUAUUAAUUUUAAGUCCUUUUUCUCUCUUAUUCCUUUAUAGUUUCAUUAAUUAUUUUUUGUAUCCCAUAGAAUUCUAAAAUAUAACCCUUGUCUUGAUUUGUUUUACUUUUCUUUAAAACUUUAAGCCCAUCCUUCUAUUUUUGCUUUAAAACAAUGAUAUAAGAAGUAAUUCUUUUAGUUCAUUUUAUCGUGGGCUGUCGAUUACAAUACAGGAUCCCCUAUUUUGGAUUUCUACCGCCAUUCCAUUUAGGUUUUAUUUAUGUAAUUACUAACUUUCUUUAAUUUAAAA